UUACUGCUAUCGGUGUUCGCCUAAGCCAUGCGAGUCAUAUGUUCUUCGUGAACAUGGCGUACUGCUCAGUAACACGUGGAUAACCUGCCCUUGGGUCCGGCAUAACCCCGGGAAACUGGGGAUAAUUCCGGAUAACGCACAUAUGCUGGAAUGCUUUAUGCGUAAAAUGGAUUCGUCUGCCCAAGGAUGGGUCUGCGGCCUAUCAGGUAGUAGUGGGUGUAAUGUACCUACUAGCCAACAACGGGUACGGGUUGUGAGAGCAAGAGCCCGGAGAUGGAUUCUGAGACAUGAAUCCAGGCCCUACGGGGCGCAGCAGGCGCGAAAACUUUACAAUGCGGGAAACCGUGAUAAGGGGACACCGAGUGCCAGCGUCAUACGCUGGCUGUCCAGGUGUGUAAAAUACACCUGUUAGCAAGGGCCGGGCAAGACCGGUGCCAGCCGCCGCGGUAACACCGGCGGCCCGAGUGGUGAUCGUGAUUAUUGGGUCUAAAGGGUCCGUAGCCGGUUUGGUCAGUCCUCCGGGAAAUCUGAUAGCUCAACUAUUAGGCUUUCGGGGGAUACUGCCAGACUUGGAACCGGGAGAGGUAAGAAGUACUACAGGGGUAGGAGUGAAAUCUUGUAAUCCCUGUGGGACCACCUGUGGCGAAGGCGUCUUACCAGAACGGGUUCGACGGUGAGGGACGAAAGCUGGGGGCACGAACCGGAUUAGAUACCCGGGUAGUCCCAGCCGUAAACGAUGCUCGCUAGGUGUCAGGCAUGGCGCGACCGUGUCUGGUGCCCCAGGGAAGCCGUGAAGCGAGCCACCUGGGAAGUACGGCCGCAAGGCUGAAACUUAAAGGAAUUGGCGGGGGAGCACAACAACGGGUGAGCCUGCGGUUUAA
This 881-nucleotide ribosomal RNA is filed under the name uncultured archaeon. RNAcentral's name for it is "bacterial SSU rRNA". It matches the Rfam family "Archaeal small subunit ribosomal RNA", at positions 24 to 905 of the family's 1478-position model. The record is from RNAcentral.